AUGGGCAUCCAAGACAUCCGCGAUGGUGUGGCAUCCUUCUUCGUCAUGCUGAAUAAGGAGACAUACAUCCUGUUUCGGAUUGAGAUUCUUGUAGUCCUGGUCACACUCUUGUUCUUUGUGAUGUUCAUCAUGGAUGUCUUUCGUCGCAACAUCCACAACACAAAGAUGGCAACUAUCUUUAGCAUCUUGGAUGCCGUCUCUGACUCCAUUGUCGUAUACCUGCUGGGGGCCAUGCAAACAGCGAAGUUCAAGAAUCGACUGUUGAAUCAGCUGUUCCCAGUUUGGGGCCUCGUGCUUGUUAGUUUCCGUUACAACAUCGAUUUCAUCUCUGGAUAUGGUGUUCAUGACCAACAUGGGCGACGGUUCAUAGAGUGGAGGAACGUGGUGAAACUUCUGGGAUCAGCCUUCUUGAACUUGUCGAGCGACUCAAGGUUUGCAGUUCCACUAUGGUCGCUUUUGGCUCUGCAGAUACUGAAGAGCGGGUACAGAUUCUAUGUGCAUAGUCUGACAGUCAAAUCUGUCUGGCAUGGCAAGAGUUCAGAGGUCGUUACAGAGCACAUGCGUGCCGGCCCUCACAGUAGCAACUGGAAACCUGAGGAGUGCAACCCAGAGAAUAUGGCAGGAUACAAAUACUUGGUCUAUGGAGAAAGCAAACAGAGCAUCAAAUUCAAGAAGCCUCAGUAUGCCAUGUAUAUCGAUACUGCCCAGAAUGUCAAGAAAGCUAGGCGUGGUCGUCGUCCGCGUCCAGGGAGAUCAACACUGAUCACCCUAGACAAGAUCUGGGGAUGUUACAGGCAUCUGUUAGACCAGGACAGCAAUGAGGGGAAUGAUCAAAAGGAUCUCUCUCUAGCCUUCGCCUUGUCUAGAUUGCUUCGGUGCAGGCUAGAGGAUGUGACACUGCAACAAAAACUCUUCCACAUUAACCGAAAGCUAGUUAAGAAUAAGAUCCUUGAGGAGCAGAACGCUAGCCGUGCCUUCAGGAUCAUGGAGCUGCAACUCUCUUUCGUAAACGACUACUUCAACACCCGCUACCCUAUGGUGUUUUGGUGUGGGUUCCUUUCUCUCUUCUCAAAUUUGCUUCUCUCCACAGUGACCUUCGGUGUUGUCUGCUGGCUUGCUGUGGAUAUCCAUAAGGUCUAUAAGCCCCCAAAGAAUGAUCGGGCUCGAGUGGUGCAUGGGGUCAAUGUUGACAUGAUCAUCACCUGGGUAUUCAUGAUUUUUAUGCUGUUCAAAGAGAUCUGGGAGAUGGUCAGCUACUUAGUCUCAAACUGGACUAGAUUACUCCUUGUGUGCAUGUAUGCACAAUGGAAGGAAGAGCGCACUAGAAACAGAUGCAUGGAAGGCACAAUAUCAUCCUUUUUCAAAUCCAGGAUAACUAGUAAGCUGUGGCAUGGACAUAUUGACCAGUAUGUGUUUCUGGAGUCAUACGAUGACAAACCAAGAAUUUGGAAUUUUCUCCACUACAUAACCAUAGGAAUGUCGCCAAAGAAGGACGAUCGAGCAACACUCCACAGCGCCAUUGAUGUGCCAGAAUGUGUCACACUGGCAGCAUUGGAGAAGCUCCGCAUGAGCCUAGAGAAGCUAAUCCUAACAGAAAUCAAGAAGAGACCAUCAUUAGGGGUCGUUCUCUGUCCGAGGCCAUCAUAUCGCUGUCUGGUGCAGACUGUGACCGAAGGAAGGGGUAUCGUUGGGCCUGCUACGACCUGCCCACGUGCUCCCAUGUAA
This 1725-nucleotide ribosomal RNA is filed under the name Triticum aestivum (bread wheat). RNAcentral describes it as "partial small subunit ribosomal RNA". The record is from RNAcentral. Lineage: Eukaryota; Viridiplantae; Streptophyta; Magnoliopsida; Poales; Poaceae.